This is a long non-coding RNA of Antechinus flavipes (yellow-footed antechinus), 3754 nucleotides long. RefSeq lists it as uncharacterized. NCBI's taxonomy places the organism in Eukaryota, Metazoa, Chordata, Mammalia, Dasyuromorphia, Dasyuridae. The record is from RefSeq and is a predicted model, not a curated record. The transcript has 3 exons.
AGGAGGAAGAAGAGGAAGAAGAAGAAGAAAGGAGGAGGAGGAGGAGAAGAAAAAGAGGAGGAAGAGGAAGAAAAGGAAGAGGAAAAAGAAGAAAGAAGAAGAGACGGGGGACAAGGAAAAGGAGGAGGAAGAGGAGAAAUAACCAUGGGAGGAUAAAGAACCAAAAGAGGGAGAAAAACAACAAUCACAUUGUUGAUUCAAGAUGCAGAAAACUAUAGGGCUGAAUGCUUAAACCCCCAUACUUUCUCUUUAUUGAUUCACAUCUUCAAAUUGAGGGGAAUGUAGGGAGAGGCAGAGGGAUAAAGAAAGGAAGGAAGGGAGAAAGACAGGAAGAGAGACAGAAAUAGAGGAAUGCAGGGAGAAAAAGAUAUGUUUUCUCAGAAAAUCACAAGGAAUGUACCCAAGCAAGACUCAAGUAAGCCUAUUUACAGCUCCUCAGACCUUAAAGCUCACUAAUAAGAAGCUAUCUCUUUAAGAAAGAGAUCAUAAGGUAGCCUAGAUCAACACCUCCCUACACACUCCACCCUCAGUGUCACCCUCCCCUAACUAAAGGACAAACUUUCUUCCCACUUAGAUUUCUUUCUUCCACUGAAGGUAGGUUGGGAAGCUAAGAAGUGAAUAAAAAUAGAUAUUAUUUCCAAGUUGGCUGGGUAACUUUGUUUUGUUUUGUUUUUUCAAUGGGAUCCAGUACAGGUUGACAAGCAAAUUUUGGAUUCCCCUGAAAUCCUCUGAAUGCAUCCCUAAUGUCUGGAGAACAAAUCCAGGGACCACUUGAAGAUCUUGUUUCAUAAGGAGUCUCAGACACAAGUGGAAAAGAUUUCCAAAAGCCAGAAUGGAAGGGACAAUCCUAGCCCCUUGGGCUAUCACUUUGGUGAUCAUUGGGGCUGUCCUGAUAAUGACCUCAUUGAUGAUCCUCCCUCCUGUGGCCCUCCUCAUCUGGAGAAUUCACCAGAUGCCAGAGAUCUCAUUGGUAGGAAUCAUAUAGAUCCAGGCCCUCUCCAGACCUCUGCUGCUUCAAACUUAUUCUUUCCCAGAUGUCAUUACUAAGACAAAAAUGUCUUGAGCCAUUUGUGAAAUUCAAAUAACCUUUACCUUCAUGUCUCAAACUUUCAAUGGCUCUUCUGUGUUAGACAACUGCUUCCCCUUCAAAGAAUCACAGAAUUUAAAAGAAGCAACCAAACUCUCCAUAGUACAUGUAAAAAAACUGAAGCCCAGAAGAGGGAAAUGAUCUGCUCCAAAGCCGCAUAGCUAGUAAGUGGCAGACAAGAGUCAAACCCAGAUCUAACUAUAGAUCAGAAUAUUAGCUCUUUCCUUUCUUUUGCGUAUGUGUCCAACUGGGGCCAUACUUUACUGUGUCCUUCUAGGAUCUUGGUGAAGUGGCCUGUUGUUACUAUACAAAAUGCUCUGACUGCACACCAGCAGAUAGAGAACUAAUGGACAAAAAAUUUCAUCUAUGGCCUUUCAACCUCAAUGUGGCUCUUUGAAGUAGUAAAGUCACUUGGCAGAGUGACAUUGCAGAAUCACAAAAAAAACAGUAGCUUGAAAGGACUAGAAAUAUUCUAGUUCAAUCCUCUCAUUUUACAGCAAAGAAAGCAGAAAAUUCCUAGAGAAGUUAUUUGAUUGGCUCAUGAUCACAGAAAGUAAAGAACAGAAGCAAGAUGUGAAAUCUAACCCAAAUCCAGCAGAAUUCCUUGUAAGAAUCAGCAUAAUAUCAAUUCUUGAGACACUCUUGUUUUAUUGUAUGUAAUAAGGAUAAGCUGGAAGCAUUCCCAGUAAGAACAGGGGUGAAACAAGAAUGCCCAUUAUCACCAUUAUUAUUCACCAAAAUUAUUCAGUUUUUGCCCAUUUAGUUCCCUAUCUCUGGUGUGCAGUCAGAGCAUUUUGUGUAGUAACAAGAGGCCACUUCACCAAUUGUACUAGAAAGAACUAGCUUUAAUGAUGAGAAGGAAAAUAAAUUGAAAGAACUAGAAUAAGCAAUGAAGAAACAAAACUAUCACUUUUUGUAGAUAAUAUGAUAGUUAGAAAAUCCUUCAGAAUAACUAAAAAACUGUUUGAAACAGUUAACAACUAGCAAAGUUGCAGGAUAUAAAAUAAACGCAUAUAAAUCAUCAGCAUUUCUAUAUAUUGACAACAAAGUUCUGCAGCAUGAGAUAAAUAGAGAAAUUUCAUUUAAAAAAUGUGUACAAUAGAAAAUAUUUGGGAGUUUACCUGCCAAGACAAACCCAGGAACUAUAUGAACAUAGUUACAAAACACUUUUUGCACAAAUUAAAGUCAGAUCUAAACAACUGGGAAAAUAUUGAUCGUUCAUGGGUAAACUAAACUAAUAUAAUAAAAAUUAGAAAUUUACCUAAAUUAAUCUACAUAUUCAGUGCCAUACAAAUCAAAAUACCAAAUAAUAAUAAUAUUUCUUAAAGCUAGAAAAAAUAAUAACAAAACUCAUACAGAAUGUAAAGUUAUAUUACAAAGCAGCAAUCAUCAAAACAAUUUGGUGCUGGCUAUUUAGGUAUUUAGGUGCAUAAAACAGUGGCAAAUUUACUAUUUGAUAAACUCAAAGAGAAUAGCUUCUGGGAUAAGAACUCACUUUUUGACAAACUGCUCGGAAAACUGGAAAACAGUAUGGGAGAAACUAGGCAUUGAUCAGCAUUUCACACCUUAUACCAAAAUAAGGUGUAAAUAGGUUCGUGAUUUAGAGAUAAAGGUUGAUACUAAAAGUGAAUUAGGAAAGCAAGGAAUAUUUUAUCUGUCAGAUCUCUGGAGAAGAGGGAAAUUUAUAAUCAAACAAAAGAUAGAGAACAUUAUGAAAUACAAAAUAGAUAAUUUUGAUUACAUUAAAUUUAAAAGUUUUUGCACAAGAAAACCAAUACAAGCAAAGCCUCAUUUCUAAAAUAUAUAAAGAACUGAGUAAAAUGUGCUAUUUUUGUGAUAGCAAAGAAUUAGAAAUUGAAGGGAUACCUAUCAAUUGGGGAAUGCUGAACAAGUUGUGGUAUAUGAAUGUAAUGGAAUAUUAUUGUACUAUAAAAAAAAUUAUGAGCAGUCAGAUUUCAGAAAAACCAAAAAAGAUGAUGAACUGAUGCAGUAUAUAGUGAACAGAACCUGAGGAACAGUGUACAAAGUAACAACAAUAUUAUGUAAUGCUCAACUAUGAUAGAUUUAGCUCUUCUCAGCAAUACAGUGAUCCAAGAUGAUUUCAAAAGACUUAGGAUGGAAAAUAACAUCCAUAUCCAAAGAAAGAACUAUGGAGUCUGAAUGCAGAUAAAAUUUGUUUUUUCUUUCUUUUUUUUUGUGGUUUUCCUUUUUGUUCUCAUUCUUUUUUUACAAAAUGAUUGAUAUGGAAAUAUGUUUAACAUGAUUAUAGAUUUAUAGUCUAUAUUUGAUUGCUUAAUAUCUUGGGGAGGGUGGAGGGAAGAAAAGAAAGGGAAAAUUUUGCAAUUCAAAAUUAAUAAAAAUAAUGUUGAAAACUAUCUUUACAUGUAAUUGAAAAAAAUAAAAUGCUAUUAAGUGUCUUUUUGAAAGACACUCUUUCUCUGACUUAGAUAUAUACAUAAAGCAAUGAGAAUGUUGUUUCAAUCAGCCAAUUCAAUCAAUCAACCAAUAAGUAUUUAUUAUGCACUUACUAUAUGCCAGGAAUUAUUCCAGGUGCUGGGGCCACAAAUAUAAAAGUGAAAUGCUUCCUACCAUUGAGGAGCUUGCAUUCAUUCUAGAAAAGGGAAUCAAUAUAAAUAGGUAGGAAGAUAGACUGGGGUGGGGGGAAGA